RNAcentral lists this ribosomal RNA (580 nucleotides) under Neofusicoccum parvum. RNAcentral's name for it is "eukaryotic LSU rRNA". The stretch from base 210 to 363 matches the Rfam family "5.8S ribosomal RNA". The record is from RNAcentral. Lineage: Eukaryota; Fungi; Ascomycota; Dothideomycetes; Botryosphaeriales; Botryosphaeriaceae.
UUCCGUAGGUGAACCUGCGGAAGGAUCAUUACCGAGUUGAUUCGAGCUCCGGCUCGACUCUCCCACCCAAUGUGUACCUACCUCUGUUGCUUUGGCGGGCCGCGGUCCUCCGCACCGGCGCCCUUCGGGGGGCUGGCCAGCGCCCGCCAGAGGACCAUAAAACUCCAGUCAGUGAACUUCGCAGUCUGAAAAACAAGUUAAUAAACUAAAACUUUCAACAACGGAUCUCUUGGUUCUGGCAUCGAUGAAGAACGCAGCGAAAUGCGAUAAGUAAUGUGAAUUGCAGAAUUCAGUGAAUCAUCGAAUCUUUGAACGCACAUUGCGCCCCUUGGUAUUCCGAGGGGCAUGCCUGUUCGAGCGUCAUUUCAACCCUCAAGCUCUGCUUGGUAUUGGGCCUCGUCCUCCACGGACGCGCCUUAAAGACCUCGGCGGUGGCGUCUUGCCUCAAGCGUAGUAGAAAACACCUCGCUUUGGAGCGCACGGCGUCGCCCGCCGGACGAACCUUUGAAUUAUUUCUCAAGGUUGACCUCGGAUCAGGUAGGGAUACCCGCUGAACUUAAGCAUAUCAAUAAGCGGAGGA